RNAcentral lists this ribosomal RNA (468 nucleotides) under uncultured bacterium. RNAcentral describes it as "partial 16S ribosomal RNA". It matches the Rfam family "Bacterial small subunit ribosomal RNA", at positions 28 to 507 of the family's 1533-position model. The record is from RNAcentral.
GACGAACGCUGGCGGCGUGCUUAACACAUGCAAGUCGAACGGAAAGGCCCUGCUUUGGUGGGGUGCUCGAGUGGCGAACGGGUGAGUAACACGUGAGUAACCUGCCCUUGACUGUGGGAUAACUUCAGGAAACUGGGGCUAAUACCGGAUAGGAGCUCCUGCUGCAUGGUGGGGGUUGGAAAGUUUCGGCGGUUGGGGAUGGACUCGCGGCUUAUCAGCUUGUUGGUGGGGUAGUGGCUUACCAAGGCUUUGACGGGUAGCCGGCCUGGGAGGGUGACCGGCCACAUUGGGACUGCGAUACGGCCCAGACUCCUACGGGAGGCAGCAGUGGGGAAUAUUGCACAAUGGGGGGAAGCCUGAUGCAGCAACGCCGCGUGCGGGAUGACGGCCUUCGGGUUGUGAACCGCUUUCGCCUGUGACGAAGCGUGAGUGACGGUAAUGGGUAAAGAAGCACCGGCUAACUACGUG